AUUCCAUGGUUUGGGCAUUUACUCAUUAGCUCGUUAAACCUAUUCCAUGCCUCAUGAUAGCUUCCUCCAUCUUUCUGUUGAAAAGUUUGAAUCUCCAAUUUGAUUUU
Molecule: small nucleolar RNA, 107 nt
Filed under: Olea europaea subsp. europaea
Lineage: Eukaryota; Viridiplantae; Streptophyta; Magnoliopsida; Lamiales; Oleaceae
Description: Plant small nucleolar RNA R71
Rfam family: Plant small nucleolar RNA R71
About the family: R71 is a member of the C/D box family of snoRNAs containing the C (UGAUGA) and D (CUGA) box motifs. Multiple nearly identical copies of this snoRNA have been identified in Arabidopsis, and it is thought to function as a 2'-O-ribose methylation guide for 18S ribosomal RNA.
Source: Rfam by way of RNAcentral